AUGACGCUGGCGGCAGGCUAACACAUGCAGUCCAACGGUACAGGAUGUGCUUGCACAUCGCUGACGAGUGGCGGACGGGUGAGUAAUGCUUAGGGAUCUGCCUCUGUGUGGGGGAUAACUAUUGGAAACGAUAGCUAAUACCGCAUAAUGUUUACGGACCAAAGGGGGCGUUUGCUCCCGCGCAGAGAGGAACCUAAGUGAGAUUAGCUAGUUGGUAAGGUAAUGGCUUACCAAGGCGACGAUCUCUAGCUGUUCUGAGAGGAAGAUCAGCCACACUGGGACUGAGACACGGCCCAGACUCCUACGGGAGGCAGCAGUGGGGAAUAUUGCACAAUGGGGGGAACCCUGAUGCAGCCAUGCCGCGUGUGUGAAGAAGGCCUUCGGGUUGUAAAGCACUUUCAGUUGUGAGGAAAGGUUAGUAGUUAAUACCUGCUAGCUGUGACGUUAGCAACAGAAGAAGCACCGGCUAACUCCGUGCCAGCAGCCGCGGUAAUACGGAGGGUGCGAGCGUUAAUCGGAAUUACUUGGGCGUAAAGCGCACGCAGGCGGUUUGUUAAGCUAGAUGUGAAAGCCCCGAGCUCAACUUGGGAUGGUCAUUUAGAACUGGCAGACUAGAGUCUUGGAGAGGGGAGUGGAAUUUCUAGUGUUACGGUGAAAUGCGUAAUUUUAAGAAGGAACCAUCAG
This 684-nucleotide ribosomal RNA is filed under the name uncultured Gammaproteobacteria bacterium. RNAcentral's name for it is "bacterial SSU rRNA". It matches the Rfam family "Bacterial small subunit ribosomal RNA", at positions 30 to 713 of the family's 1533-position model. The record is from RNAcentral. Lineage: Bacteria; Pseudomonadati; Pseudomonadota; Gammaproteobacteria.